AGACCCUGCGCGGGAGAGCUCUCCGUCGGAUCGGCGGAGGCGCCGAAGGAGCAAAUCCUCCCCGGAAUCUCUCAGGCACACGUACCGCGCGGGCGAG
This 97-nucleotide non-coding RNA is filed under the name Streptomyces albus. RNAcentral describes it as "Glycine sequence". It matches the Rfam family "Glycine riboswitch aptamer". Rfam says of the family: This family represents the bacterial glycine riboswitch. Glycine riboswitches usually consist of two metabolite-binding aptamers domains with similar structures in tandem. The aptamers cooperatively bind glycine to regulate the expression of downstream genes. The record is from RNAcentral. Lineage: Bacteria; Bacillati; Actinomycetota; Actinomycetes; Kitasatosporales; Streptomycetaceae.